ACUCAUGCUUGCAAUUCCUCUCCCAAAUAAUCCCAGUCAGGAACUGCAAUCCCCAUUCAGUUGAAUGAGAUUUGCAAUUUUGCAGAAGAGAAAUUGGCGAUGUCCUCACUAGCUUGAAUCUUUAUGUAUGAGAGAGAAUGGAAUGGAAUGAAGAAGAAUGCAGGAACAGUAGUUAUCAGCUGCCUGUUAUUUAUGAACAUUUUCAGAAUGUAGAACUGAUAUGCUCCAUCCACAAGAAAAGGACUAUUUUAACCUUUUUCGUUCGUGUGCAGAGACUUCAAAACUUUUGUGGGCUUGAUUUACAAUUGGAAUCUCAGCAUUGCAUAAUCGUAUUACCAGAGAGAGAGGUUUUCAAUCAAUAACAUAGUUAAUCUUAUUGCAAUGAUGCAAAAGGUUGUCACUGCUGGAACUUUACCUGGGACUGGGGUCUUCUAAACUAGUUGCUGUGAACACAGAUUGUUUUGGAGAGAAUGCAAUGUACUGUAUAUAAGAUUUAAGAGUUUCACUUUUGAGCAUGUAAUUUUUUUAUUGAAAGUAUAAUUAAACUUGA
Molecule: long non-coding RNA, 550 nt
Organism: Mobula hypostoma (lesser devil ray)
Lineage: Eukaryota; Metazoa; Chordata; Chondrichthyes; Myliobatiformes; Myliobatidae
Exons: 3
Source: RefSeq, a predicted model, not a curated record